GGGACGAUGGCGCAUCUGGGAGCGCGUCAGACUGAAGCACUAACUUCGGCCGCCAGGUUUCAUCCUUCGGGAUGUCCCUAGUAAUCUGAAGGUGGCCGGUUCAAGCCCGGCUCGUCCCA
This is a transfer RNA of Aspergillus aculeatus ATCC 16872, 119 nucleotides long. It matches the Rfam family "tRNA". From Rfam's summary of the family: Transfer RNA (tRNA) molecules are approximately 80 nucleotides in length. The record is from Rfam. Lineage: Eukaryota; Fungi; Ascomycota; Eurotiomycetes; Eurotiales; Aspergillaceae.